RNAcentral lists this long non-coding RNA (259 nucleotides) under Cricetulus griseus (Chinese hamster). Its description in RNAcentral is "lncRNA (ENSCGRG00015037016.1)". The record is from RNAcentral. Lineage: Eukaryota; Metazoa; Chordata; Mammalia; Rodentia; Cricetidae.
UGAAGGCCAUCUCACUGUGACCUACUUCCUACAGCUAAGCCCCACCCCCGAAGGUUCCACAACUGACCUGCAAACAGCAACACCAUCUGGCAAUCAAGAGUUUAAACAAUUUCUUCUAAAAAUGCAAGUAGGGUUAAAGGCACGUCCUUGUCUUACUCCCUUGGCCUUGCCUUUCAUGCCCCAUGCGGUGGAUGCCUUUCCACACUUACCAGAGACCACCCAUUCAUACGCCACAGCUGCAAAGAAUUCUAUUGGACAG